CUUAUUUCAUGUGUUUUAUGUGUUUUUCAUACAAUUUAGUUUUCUUUUAUAGAUUUGCAUGCUUGGGAACUGGUUUGAUGAUAUUUUAUAGCAACUGGAUGAGAAUGGAGGCUAAAGGGAUCAAGGCUCAGGAAGUAGUAGUUAAAGGACCAUGAAAAUAGAAAUUGCCCUGCAGCACGAUCGCGCCCUAUUUGUACUAAGGUGCAACACGGACGCGCCAUCUUCCAGUCAAAUUAUCUCUGCCUAUGCAGCGCGGUUGCGCCAAGUGAAAGCUUAAAGACAGCACGACUGCGCCACUUCGAGUUUGACCAGGAGUUGACUUUUCAUUAAUCAGUGCAAUUGAGUUAGAAUGUACAUAGGAUUUCAUAGUAGAAUUAAGAUUUAUGUUAUAACUUAUAAAUAACAGUUUAUGUCAGUUUAUAUGGGUAUAUUUUACUUUUGAUUCAAAAAACCCUAGUUCUAAAUUAGAGUGGAGAUUGAAGCAAUUGGGGGAGCGUGAAGGAUUCAAGGUAGGAGGCAUUGGAGGGAGUCAAGAGUGCUG
Molecule: long non-coding RNA, 541 nt
Filed under: Panax ginseng (ginseng)
Lineage: Eukaryota; Viridiplantae; Streptophyta; Magnoliopsida; Apiales; Araliaceae
Description: long non-coding RNA (PGIN_LNC017185)
Source: RNAcentral